AUAACAAUACAGGACUCUUUCGAAGCCCUGUAAUUGGAAUGAGUACACUUUAAAUUCUUUAACGAGGAUCUAUUGGAGGGCAAGUCUGGUGCAGAGCGACUGACCCGUGUUUGCUGCAGCUGAAACUCCACUAUCGCCUGCUGCUGCUCGCACAGUCUCUCCAGCUUGUG
This 170-nucleotide ribosomal RNA is filed under the name Pelobates cultripes (western spadefoot toad). RNAcentral describes it as "SSU_rRNA_eukarya". Lineage: Eukaryota; Metazoa; Chordata; Amphibia; Anura; Pelobatidae. The record is from RNAcentral.